This 468-nucleotide ribosomal RNA is filed under the name uncultured bacterium. RNAcentral's name for it is "partial 16S ribosomal RNA". It matches the Rfam family "Bacterial small subunit ribosomal RNA", at positions 28 to 507 of the family's 1533-position model. The record is from RNAcentral.
GACGAACGCUGGCGGCGUGCUUAACACAUGCAAGUCGAACGGAAAGGCCCUGCUUUUGUGGGGUGCUCGAGUGGCGAACGGGUGAGUAACACGUGAGUAACCUGGCCUUGACUUGGGGAUAACUUCAGGAAACUGGGGCUAAUACCGGAUAGGAGCUCCUGCUGCAUGGUGGGGGUUGGAAAGUUUCGGCGGUUGGGGAUGGACUCGCGGCUUAUCAGCUUGUGGGUGGGGUAGUGGCUUACCAAGGCUUUGACGGGUAGCCGGCCUGAGAGGGUGACCGGCCACAUUGGGACUGAGAUACGCCCCAGACUCCUACGGGAGGCAGCAGUGGGGAAUAUUGCACAAUGGGCGGAAGCCUGAUGCAGCAACGCCGCGUGCGGGAUGACGGCCUUCGUGUUGUAAACCGCUUUCGCCUGUGACGAAGCGUGAGUGACGGUAAUGGGUAAAGAAGCACCGGCUAACUACGUG